Molecule: ribosomal RNA, 318 nt
Filed under: uncultured eukaryote
Lineage: Eukaryota
Description: partial 18S ribosomal RNA
Rfam family: Eukaryotic small subunit ribosomal RNA
Source: RNAcentral
CCCUUAGAUGUUCUGGGCAGCACGCGCGCUACAAUGGUCUUCGCAAACGGAUGCAUUCUCGAAGGAGAAUGCCAAUCUUGGAAUCUAUGCCUUGGUCGGGACAGUUGCUUGCAAUUUUUCGACUCGAACCAGGAAUUCCUUGUAUCGUGAUUCAUCACAUCACGAUGAAUACGUCCCUGCCCUUUGUACACACCGCCCGUCGCUCCUACCGAUCGAAGAGUUAGGUGAAUUGUUUUGAUCGAUAAGAUUUGACUAUGGUCAACUCUCGUUGUGAAAUUCUGUGAAUCUGACUGUUUAGAGGAAGGAAAAGUCGUAACA